CACUGAACUCAAACGCAGAAAAAAAUGGAUUGAACUUGCAUGCAAAAUCAUCAGUCUUUCCCUGAACAGACCCUUGCAAAAUCCGUAUCGCUCAUGUGAAAGAGGCCUUGGACUACAUUUACAAUCCAGGAUUUUGCUUGUGUAAUGAUGCAAAUGACUGUAUAAAAAUAUGACAAAGGGCACAUGUGGUAUGGUAUUUUUUUUUCUGUAUGUUGCCAUAUGGCAUUCAUCAUGGGUACUGUAUUUGUUCCAUAUGGGUACUGGAUGAAAACAGACAGGAAAAGCUGCUUUUCUCAUGGCUGCUUUUAUAAAAGGUAUUUUAAGUGACAACCAUAUGGAGGAUUCUCAAAGAUUUGUAUACAUAGACACAAGUCUUUAGUUUCUGCUGGGGGUAGGGGGGUUGAUUGGCAUCCAUGUUGCAUCUAGUGGAGCAUACCAUAGUUUUUUUAAUUAUCUAGCAGAUUGUGUAUAAAAGACGCCUCCAUUUUUAAGAACAGCAUAACGCGAUAUGGAACCCCCUCCCCAUAGUGUAGUGUUAGCACCAUGUUAUGGAUCAGCAGCUAAUGGGACUGGUAAGAAUGGUUUGGUUGUUGUUUUGGACAAUGACAAAAUUCCCCAAAAUCUCAAUGAAGGUCUGGUAGGUGGAGCCAGUGACUAUUGAGAAGGUUUGACAAGAGGGAAAAUGGUGUAAAGACCAUGUCCACCAUGUUUUCUGCUGGAUAGUUGUUGGAUCUGGAUUCACAUCCACCAUGUUUUCGACUGGAUAGUUGUGGGAUCUGGAUCCAUGUCCACCAUGUUUUCUGUUGGAUAGUUGUGGGAUCUGGAAUCAUUGUCGUACAAAACAUUUUGUUUUAAGACCUAUCCUAAUGUUUGAGGAAUAUUAGAUUAAAACGACUCUCUGGUUAAAAAAAAAAAAAAAGUACAUGAAGCGGGAUAUGAACAGAACGGCUGCUGCCCUCAUUUUCAUCCUUUCAGCUUCAGAUCUGACGAUUCCUGGACUCCUCUUCUGUCAUCCAAGAAGGGCCCCACUGCUACUCAGACUACCUGGUUCACACUGUGCAUUUAGUAGUCCAAGACGGUGUUCCUCAACUCCAGUCUUCAGGGCUCACCUGCUGGUCACGAUUUGAGACUAUCUCACAGAAUAAAUACCUGGGGUAAGUCCUGAUGCAUUGACACUAAUAGUAUCACCAGCUCUAUACUAAGGAAAUCGUGAAAACUUGACCGUCAUAAGGGGCCCUGAGGACUGGAGUUGAAGAACACUGGUCCAAGACACUUGAGCAGUUCUGACUAAUCCAAGAGCAGGGCUAGACAAGCAGGAAGUGUCUCGGACCACCAAUGAACAGUGUGCAUUAAGUAGACUGAGGAACUAUGGGGCCAUCUUGAAUGACAGAUGAGGAGUCAGGGAAUCGGCAGAUCUGCUGCUGAAAAGAUGAAAAGGAGGGCACCAGUACAUACACCCGAGUGAAGAGGUUCAUUCAGGCAGAUAAAGAUAAGGUAUUAAUAUUUAACCCAGCCUUUUUUAAAUACAUCCAUGAUAACUGGACCAAUCAUCAUGGAAAGUAUCCAUCUACUGGAAUGCUGGCGCUCUUUUUCGCAUUACAUAUAUGUGAUGAGAUAUCAGUAUUUGGUUUCGGUGCAGACCAAAAAGGAAAUUGGCACCACUACUGGGAAAACAACCGAUUUGCAGGCGCUUUCAGAUGGACUGGCGUUCACAAUGCAGAAUUUGAGUCAAAACUGAUAGCGGCGUUAGUCCAGGAAGGAAGACUGAAAUUCUACAGAUAACGCACUUUUCUCUGCAUUCAUAAAAAGAUCAUGUUUUCUACUUUGUUAAUAUAAAAAAAACUCAUGCUGUAUCCUGUGACUCUCAUGGUGAAUUUGUGUUGCUCCAUUAUGAAGCAAGUACUCCUCCUGACUUCAGACAGAGAAGAUAUAUCUUCUUGGCAAAACUAUAAAAGAGAGAAAUUUAUUCUUACAUCUGUGUCGUGGCUUUAAAGAGGACACAAAGUUUAGAUGACA
Long non-coding RNA from Bufo bufo (common toad), 2016 nucleotides. RefSeq lists it as uncharacterized. Lineage: Eukaryota; Metazoa; Chordata; Amphibia; Anura; Bufonidae. The record is from RefSeq and is a predicted model, not a curated record. The transcript has 4 exons.